AUUCCUGCGUCCCACGCACUCCGGGUGCCAUGCCUCCCAAAUGCACUCAACUCCCCACAGAAAAGGGAACCCAUCCUUCUGCCGCAUAAAGUCAGAGCCAGGGGAUCCCAGCCCACAGAAUGGUGAAACCUACAUCCCACCUUGGUCUUCCUCUUUAACCUUUCUGGAAAUACCCUCCUAGUAACACCCAAAGGAGUGUUUCCAUGGAGAUUCUAAUCCCACCUACUUGAGCAUCAAAGGACCAGUGAGAUGGCUCUGUGUACCCACUUGCUGCCAAGCCUGAUGACCUGGGUUCAAUCGCUGGGACCCAGUGGUGGAAAGAGAGAACCAACUCUGGAAGUUGUCCCUGUGAUGUGUUCCCCGACCCCCACAUGCAAAUUCUUAAUUAAUAUAAUUUUAUUUAUGCAUUAUUUAUUUA
Molecule: long non-coding RNA, 418 nt
Filed under: Mus pahari (shrew mouse)
Lineage: Eukaryota; Metazoa; Chordata; Mammalia; Rodentia; Muridae
Description: RIKEN cDNA 2900089D17 gene (MGP_PahariEiJ_G0003217.1)
Source: RNAcentral